Molecule: unclassified non-coding RNA, 140 nt
Filed under: uncultured Ascomycota
Lineage: Eukaryota; Fungi; Ascomycota
Description: sequence contains ITS1
Source: RNAcentral
UCAAUUUACAGCGGACUUCGGUCCUGUCUGCACCCUUGUCUUUUGCGUACUGUAUGUUUCCUUGGUAGGCUUGCCUGCCAAUAGGACAUUCAUAAACUCUUUUGUAAUUGCAAUCAGCGUCAGAAUAACUAUAAUAGUUA